CGGAUUGCAGCCUGCAACUCGGCUGCAUGAAGCUGGAAUCGCUAGUAAUCGCAGAUCAGAAUGCUGCGGUGAAUACGUUCCCGGGUCUUGUACACACCGCCCGUCACACCAUGGGAGUUGGAAAUGCCCGAAGUCAGUGACCGAACCGAAAGGAAGGAGCUGCCGAAGGUGGAGCCGAUGACUGGGGUGAAGUCGUAACAAGGUAUC
This 207-nucleotide ribosomal RNA is filed under the name uncultured bacterium. Its description in RNAcentral is "partial 16S ribosomal RNA". It matches the Rfam family "Bacterial small subunit ribosomal RNA", at positions 1294 to 1500 of the family's 1533-position model. The record is from RNAcentral.